Molecule: long non-coding RNA, 2285 nt
Filed under: Sus scrofa (pig)
Lineage: Eukaryota; Metazoa; Chordata; Mammalia; Artiodactyla; Suidae
Description: lncRNA (ENSSSCG00025033494.1)
Source: RNAcentral
UCAGAGGGACAGAGGGAAUUAUUCCAUGUAUGGCUGUACUUGCAAUGUGUCCUUGGAAAGAAGGAAAUUUAGGAGCAUUUAUAUUGUCAUAAUUGCUUAGCAUUAAGAUCUUUUCCAAGCAGGCUUUUAUUUCUACCAGUAUGUUUACCAAUUUAUUAUGAAGGAUACAACCAGGAACACCCAAGGAAGAGAACCAUGGAAUAAUGCAUGGCAUUUGAGGGCAUUUCAUCCUCUAUGAAACUCCAAGUGUUCACCCCCCUGAAGCACUGUAUGUUGAUAGAUCUUAAAUGAGAUCUGUGAUUGGUUUUCAUGACUGCAGAUGGAAAACUGAUAUGGUUAAUAUUAUAAUUUAAACUUAAUAGGAAUAUAAUACUUAAAUUGACUAAUAUUGUCAUAUUAUAUUAAUAUAAUGCUCUAAAGAAGUUAAGCUCCUUUGGAGUCUGGUUCUGCCUUUACUAUUUGUAUGAACUUGGGCCAGGCAGUUAAACCAUUUCUGGCUCAAUUUUCUGAACUAAAAGAUGGAAAUGAUAGCAGAAAUCCCACAGGCUUGUUGUGAGGAGUAAAAGGAGAUAAUUGUAUAAUGUGUAUUGAUCAUAUAGUAAGUACUCAAUGAGUAAUGACUGUGACAUUGGUGACAGUGGUUUUGGUAAUGAUGAUCAUUAUAGUCAGAAAGUUAUAAAGAAAACUGAAACUAGCUGCUGAAACAGAUUAAGACAAUGUCCAUUAUUGCUAAAUUUUAAUGUUCUUUAGGGAAUGCCUAUUUCUCUAAUGAUUAUUUAUCCUAUGUUCAUUGUUAAUGAUGUUGCCAAAAUUAUUAACCAGAUGAUUAAUAUUUGGUUUUUAUCCAGUAACCUCAUUUAAACCCACACUAGCAAUUUCAUAAAACCAUUAUCAUGUUCAAACAGAGAAAACUAUUAAUUAGUCUUGCCGUAUGCAUCCAUAUGCUUAGCAUUAAUCAUUGUUUAGCUGGGUAAACAGGGGUUUGCAUUUUAUUCUUGAUGUCAUUAGGGAAAUUAGUGUAAAUGAGAAUUUUUAUUCUAAAAGGCCGUCAAAUAUACCAGGGGUUUUUACAUCCAAAUGUUAUAUGAUAUAAUUUAACAUUCCUUUAAUGAGAAGUCAGCUUUUUUGUAUAAUGUUAGAAAGUCGUUAUGACUUAUUUUUUGUAGAAGAAUUGGAAAUGAGGGAAAGUGCCAAGAGAAUUAAAUCAUUCAUAAUAUUAUUUCACCAUCCACUGUUAAUAUGUCAAUGCAUAUGCUGCUGUUUUAUCUAUUUUGUGUUUUUUUUUGAAAAAAUAUCCAUAUGUAUAUUUUUUUAUUAAGGUCUUGUCACUCACCUCCAAACCUACUCUCUAUACAUUGCUUUGUGAUGCUGUGGCUGGGCUGGGCAAAUCAUAAUACUCUUUUUCUCUUGGUUCCUUGGCAGAUCCUGCCAACUGGGAGAUUAAAAUGAAAAUUGGAAGAAGGUAGAUUGGCAAAAGGAAUUGGUUAAUCUUUCCUUAUUAUUCCAUCAACUGUGCUUUAUUAAGAGCUCUACUAAAAAGGCAGCUGCUGAUUUCUGUAUCAGUUGGUGUUAGUUCCAUUCCAUAUUAUUCCCACACUCCCAGAAUGAAACUUAAGUAUCUUUCCCUGAGGGCUGUGGGUUUCAGUUUCUUGGAGCCUCCCCCUGAGUUCUGAUGGCACCACACAGCCCAGGAGCUCUCUACCUCAGAAUUCCAGGUCCUGGAUCCUUAGGAUAUUUCUUAGAGCUUCUCAGUUUGGAUCAUUCCAAUUUCAUUUCUUCAUUAACCACAGCUCUAGGAACUAUAACUGUUCAGUGUAGUAACUACCAUUGUGACAUUUAAAUGUUUCCCUUUACCUUGCUAGUCUUCCUAUAUUUCUUAAAGUAUUUCCAAUAUUAAAUUCUAUUUAUUAAAAUAAUCAAUGGACUCUGACAUAUGUGUUCAUAUAGAGUUGAUUCUCAGCUUUUUCAUCCAAUUUCUAUCCUUUUCUUAAACUUAUAAGACUCCAGGAGUUCCUGUCGUGGCGCAGUGGUUAACGAAUCCAACUAGGAACCAUGAGGUUGCGGGUUCAGGCCCUGCCCUUGCUCAGUGGGUUAAGGAUCCGGCGUUGCCGUGAGCUGUGGUGUAGGUUGCAGAUGCGGCUCCGAUCCCGAGUUGCUGUGGCUCUGGCGUAGGCCAGUGGCUAAAGCUCCGAUUCAACCCCUAGCCUGGGAACCUCCAUAUGCCAUGGGAGCAGGCCAAAGAAAUAGCAAAAAGACAAAAAAAAAAAAAAAAAAAAAAAAAAAAA